This 590-nucleotide unclassified non-coding RNA is filed under the name uncultured Tomentella. Its description in RNAcentral is "sequence contains ITS1, 5.8S rRNA gene and ITS2". The stretch from base 205 to 359 matches the Rfam family "5.8S ribosomal RNA". The record is from RNAcentral. Lineage: Eukaryota; Fungi; Basidiomycota; Agaricomycetes; Thelephorales; Thelephoraceae.
UCAUUACCGAACUGUCGACACGAGCUGUUGCUGGCCCUCGAAAGGGGACAUGUGCACGCUCUGUCUACACAUCCACUCACACCUGUGCACCCUCUGUAGUUCCAUGGCCUGGGGACCCCGUCCCCUUGCUGCGGUCCUACGUAUUUACACACACACAGUAACAAAGUCUCAUGGAAUGCAGUCGCGUUUAACGCAAUACAAUACAACUUUCAGCAACGGAUCUCUUGGCUCUCGCAUCGAUGAAGAACGCAGCGAAAUGCGAUAAGUAAUGUGAAUUGCAGAAUUCAGUGAAUCAUCGAAUCUUUGAACGCACCUUGCGCCCUUUGGCUAUUCUGAAGGGCAUGCCUGUUUGAGUAUCAUGAACACCUCAACUCUCGUGGUCCGCCACGAUGAGCUUGGACUUUGGGGGUCUUGCCGGCCUAGCGUCGGCUCCUCUCAAAUGGAUCAGCUUGCCAGUGUUUGGUGGCGUCACAGGUGUGAUAACUAUCUACGCUUGUGGUUUUCUACCAUGUAACCUUCAGUGAUGGAGGUUCGCUGGGGCUCACAGAUGUCUCUCCUUGGGGAGGACAGCUUUUUGAACGUUUGAUCUC